Molecule: ribosomal RNA, 522 nt
Filed under: Starmerella powellii
Lineage: Eukaryota; Fungi; Ascomycota; Dipodascomycetes; Dipodascales; Trichomonascaceae
Description: LSU rRNA
Rfam family: Eukaryotic large subunit ribosomal RNA
Source: RNAcentral
UGCAUAUCAAUAAGCGGAGGAAAAGAAACCAACAGGGAUUGCCUUAGUAGCGGCGAGUGAACAGGCAAGAGCUCAGAUUUGAAAGCCUUUCGGGGCAUUGUAUUCUGAAGCCUUGGUCUCGGGAAUCGGUGCUUAAGUCUUCUGGAAAGGAGCGCCAUGGAGGGUGAUAGCCCCGUGAAGCACUAACCCCAUUUUGGGACCUUGGCGUGGAGUCGAGUUGUUUGGGAAUGCAGCUCAAAUGGGUGGUAUGCUCCAUCUAAAGCUAAAUAUCUGCGAGAGACCGAUAGCGAACAAGUACUGUGAAGGAAAGAUGAAAAGAACUUUGAAAAGAGAGUGAAAUAGUACGUGAAAUUGUUGAAAUGGAAGGGUAGGCCGCUAACCACGUAGAGUCGUGUCUAGGGGGAGGAUAAAAGCUGCAACCUAUAUCAUUCUUCGGAGUGGUAUAGGCGCGGUGCAUACUCCCACCCGGGCGCGAGGACCUAAGACUCUACUAAAUGGUGGUCUACCACCCGUCUUGAAACA